CUCCGUGGCGGGGGUGGAGGAGGUCCCGCAGCGCAGGGAAUUGCCCAGCUUGAGAGACAAGGUGGGAGGUAACGUCUUUUACUGGACCCACCUCUGUAAGCGGGACUGCUGCUCUCUCCCGCCAGAAAUGGGGCCAGUGAAAGCCGUUACCUCUCUCCUAGCCUAGACCCUGACUCUGCUUCAGGCAGCUGCUGCCACACCCCUGCCUCGAAGUGGCUUCCAUCAUAUACAGGGUUUAUAAUCUGGGUUAAGGGCUCUCCACGCGUGCACCCGUACAAAUGGGUGAUUGGUGCUAGACGGAAGAGAAACCUGGCUUUGAUUUCAGUUCCUGAUGUAGGCAUCACCCCUCCACCAGCAGCCUCUCACACGUAGAAACACAAGAGCAGCAGAACCAUCCAGUAAUGCACCAACUACUGUUACAGGUCCCUGGGUAGUUCUAAAAGAUCCUGUUAAACCAACUAAGUCACCAUGAGCAUACACCAGCUGUAAAAUAAUAAAAGGCUAGAGGAUGGUGGUACAAGUGACUUAACAGAUUCCAGCUUCUCCAUAGAUUUAACUUAGGUAGAACUUCCACAUACCUAACUUGCUCAUGAAUUGUGACAGGAAUAUUAAACUCAGAAGCAGUCUAGAUUAGCAUGUGUUUGAUUGAUAGGUUAGUCAGGGUCAGUGCAAUUAGAUAGGUUGUCAUAGGAGUCAGUUUGCCUCCAUUUAAUAAUGGCGACAAAGAGCUUUCUUGCAUUAUUUUUGUGACUGGCCUAAACAACAGAUGCUAUUAACCAUACACUGGAGACGUGCUCUCUACUGGCGAAUGUAUGUCACUAAUAACAAUCAGGAAGGCUCAGAAAAGCAUUUAUCCAAGAGGUAGAUCUGACCAAAUCUCACUCUUUACUCUGAGCUUCCUUAUGUCUGCAACUGAGCAUGCCUGUUCUAACCCCCUUAUAGCAAGGUACAUAAUGUAUAUUUUGCCACUUGACAAUGGUCACAUGUGGGAUGUAGAGAUUAUGUCUGAUGCAAUCUACCAGUGCUGCUGUUUCUCUGUAGUCUCCUCUGACUCCAGCCAGAUGUUAGGUUCUAAACUCUUUAGAGGGAAGGAGUGUAUUUUUGUUCUGUGUACCAGACUUAGUAUAUGGCUACAGCUCUUAGAUACUAGCACAUAAAUAAAACCAAAGGGGGGCGGGGGGGAGAACAGGGAGCAUAAAAGACACCUUUCCCCUUAAGCUAGUAUAGUUACAAAGAAAGCACUUCAUUUAGGCAAAAGCACAAGGACUUGUUUAUGUGAAGUAAAAAGGAGUAUAGAACAAAGCUGACUAGGUUUGGUUUUUUUUAGUUUUGUAAUUUUUUUCGCAUGGAAUAGAUGGACAGGAGUCUUGGGACCUCCUCUGUAUCUGAGGUGUAAGCUGUGUGGGACUGAAGGCCUGAGUCCAGCACUCCCAGGGCAUCACUUCCUUGUGCCUACGGAUGCUAAUCGAGGUCCAGGACCCUACUGCACCAGAUGCUAUGCAGACAGAGUAAGAAGACAGAGUCUACCCCAAACAGCUCAUCAUAUCAUGACAAAGACAAAAAAAAGGCAGAUGAAAAGCAAAGUGGUUGGGCGGAACGACACAACAAGAAAAGCACUCAGACUUCCUUCAGCAGCUCCAGCCCCAACCUUAACCUGAUUGAAGGAUGGCUACUAACCCCAGCCGUGAGACUAUGUCCUGCCACAAGCUACAUGGUCUCUGCACCAAUGGAACACCAUAAGGUCUCAGUGGGAAAAUGCAGGGAGUUCUGUUUUUCCUACUAAAGAACCAUGCAACAAGAGAACAUGUACAAGAUAGACUGGAAAAAUGGCACAAUGGUAUCACCUGAGUUUCAUCCAAUAUGGCCUCAGAAAAUGUACUCUAUUGACAUGUGCCAUAAUAUGUUCAAAACUAUCAAGCAGAAUGUUUCUGGAUAGUAGUAGCUCAUACCAGUUACAACCUGGUACCUAUGCAAGUAUUACUGUGCCAACUACUGGCACCUUUUGGAAACAGUGGAAGCAAGACAACGGAGCUGCAAAAACUCAACAAGCUAUUUUGAACAGAGAUAAACAAGAACACUGUGGGGCUGAAUCCAGCUGACCCACUACACCCUUUCACAGGCAAGAAGCCAGUCAACCCACUAUGCUAACAUUUUCACUUGACCCAGGUGACUUAACAGACAGCAGCUCCAAUUAGCUCAGUCCAGCUAUUAAAGAUAUUAGAGCAUCAAAUGCAAUCCUCCCCAUUUAUUAAAGUGGCUUUGAAAAUUAAAUGGUUUCAGAUGAGAUCAACUACAGUGGAACAUAUAUAUCAGUGCACCAAAUCCUCCUCUGCAACCCAGAUUUUGAUGUGCCAAUUCAAACUCUAAAAAGACUACCUUAUUAUUCCUGCUACUCUGCAGCCCCUCCAUAAGCAUGCAGAGACAAGGCAGGUGACAGGUAAAACCUUGUCAGCUGCUUUUGCAUUCAAAGUAUAAUUUAAAACAGUGGUUCUUAACCUUACUGCAGCCCGCAUCCCCCUUUGGUUCUCAAAAUAUGUUCUCGAACCCC
Molecule: non-coding RNA, 2548 nt
Organism: Chelonoidis abingdonii (Abingdon island giant tortoise)
Lineage: Eukaryota; Metazoa; Chordata; Testudines; Testudinidae
Source: RefSeq, a predicted model, not a curated record